GCCCCCAUAACUCCAGUGUUUGAAUGUGUAGGGAGUGGAUCUCUUAGGACCUGGGGCCUUGUUGGAGUAGGUGUGGCUUUGGAGGAAGCAUGUUACUGUGGAGGUGGGCUUUAAGGUCUCCUAUGCUAAAGCCCUGCCCAGUGCGGCACACAGUUUCCUUCUGCUGACUGCAAAUCAAGAUGUGGAACUCUCAGCUCCUUUUCCAGCACCAUGUCUGCCUGCAUGCCACCAUGCUUCCUGCCAUGACGACAAUGGACCAAACCUCUGAAACUGUCUGAUCCGAGGUCCUCACUCAGGCUGGAGAAGCAAAUACUUUUACCCACUGAGUCAUCUCACUGCAACCUCCCCCAACCCCCCGUUUUUAUUAAGAAAGCAGCUGACAUUACAGUGGUGAGGAAGGAAAGGAGUCCGCAAUUUCUCCUAGAAAAGGCGGGACGGCCCGUGGUAAAUUAAGCACCUCAAAACUGAAAAUUCCGGCCACAGAACAGGAACAAGGAAACUUCCACUGCUUAUAAGUUGUUCAGUCUCUUGUAUUCUGUUAUGGCAGUGUACAACCAACUAAAACAUCGCAUGCGUCCAUCAAAAUGUACUAUUCCCUGCUGGAAUUGGAGUUGACUUGUUAGGAUGUUGCCAAACAUCACAAAACACUGGAUUCUGUCCCCAAGAGCCUACAAGACUAAGUGUGGUGACGUGUGCCUCCACACACCUCCAAUCCUUCAAGGCCAUCUUCAGCACACAGAAUGUUUGAG
Molecule: long non-coding RNA, 749 nt
Organism: Psammomys obesus (fat sand rat)
Lineage: Eukaryota; Metazoa; Chordata; Mammalia; Rodentia; Muridae
Exons: 3
Source: RefSeq, a predicted model, not a curated record